AUGCAGUGUUUGUGGGUGUACAUGAUGCUGUGCCUCCAAGGGGGUUUUCCAUGCCAACGGAACUGAUGUGGCUGUCAUCCAGGUUCCAUUCGAAGACCCCAUUGUUCCAAGAACUCCUUCAAAAGGCACCUGCACAGAGGGCAUCAGCUUUCAGUGGGGCAUCCAACCAUUCAACUACACGUGGGAGGUUGGCGUCGGACCUGACCUGGCUAUGCAUCGUAGGUACAUUAUGCUCUAUGAAAACCAGUGACCAUGGAUGUUUCUCUCCACCACCGGAUACAUCUGAGAGGGACGCCAAGACGCUGGAAGCUCAGCAUGCCUCUACCAAACGCUGCCUCGUCACAACUACUGAGCCCAUCUGCAAGACUAUUGCCUUCCACAGAAGGGGUGAGGACUGACAACAAACUGUACUCUGGCCAUCAUUGGUGCAGAACCUCCCUCCUGGACUCCACCUGCAGGCCCCAAGAGACCGUUGACACCCACCAGGGUUCUAACUUUGGACUCUACACCUGUAAAACAAAGUCAUGGCAGGGUUCAAAGUCUCUAGGCUAGUAGUGGCUUUGUCCCAUAGUAUCUUUGGAUUAAAUUGAUUGGCAAUCCUUUCAGAUGGACUACCAGUGGUGAAUGGGAUUGUGUUCUACAAGCAAUACUCACCUGAAGACAGGCUUGUCAUCAGACAUCUUAUAGGUAUGGCUCUACAUUUCGUAACGCCUCUGAGUCUAACGUGCGCACUGAGUCUAACGUGAUUUGGAUUUGUCAAUAGAAACAUUGGAUAUCUGGUCCUAAAGGGGCUGCGCUACUAAGCAGUGUCCCACUCACCCCAUUGUAUGUUGAUGGGAUAUUUAAUUUACUUUCUGAAAGUCACAUUACAUUUUGUCAAUCUGGUGAAUGAGUGCUUUUGACUAGAACAAUCUUAAUGUGCUUUGGAAGUUUGGACUUUCAAUCUCAGGAUCUGAGGGAGACCCAGUCACACUCUCGCUGACCAGGUUCCAAUGAAAACUGAGUCUUCAGUAAACAGCUGGGUUCCAAAUGACCUGAUGGAAUUAACUUUAUUUUUUAAAUUCAGUUUAGCUUUGCCAGAGGCCAGACUCUCAUUGUGAUUCCUUGACUGACACGGACUAAAGUAUCCUGUUACAACAAUCUACUAAAUUAAUUUGGGUCCCCUGGCCACACCCAGCAAUUUAAACUAGCAUUGAAUCAAUACUUUCAUGUUAUUACUCUAUUUAAAAUUAAUAAAUUGUUGGCUCUUGAAGACUUCCUCCAGUACCUUUUUUUUGUUUUUAAAAGCACUAUACCAAGCUUAACUGCAGACUUCAAAUUCCGUGUUUUGUGGGACUGCCUGUGUAAACGCAGCCAAUAAUUUUUCCAGUAGUUGAUUGUCUCCAAUCGGGUAAAAGAUAAAGACUGCCUGUGUAAAUGCAGCCUUUGCUCAGGGGUAUACAACUCAUACCCUACAAGGUCCAGCGCCUGCUGGUUUUGUUCUGCUAAUGACCUUGUGUUCCAGGUCUAAAAUUCCAGUCUUGAAUUUGCAUCCAGGAAUGUGUUUACUUGUGUUGAGCUUUUUUCUCUAGGCUUAAUUAGCUGUCAAAUGAGGCAGAGAUUACAUGACCGCUACUUGGACACUUCAAAUAGUGUUACCCAACAUUAUAGCAAAACCCUUAGCAUGCUCAUUGUGACAUAAAGAAAUAACCUGUCAUUCUUCUUUAGCAAACAUGUUUAGUUAUGCAAGUUGACUCAGCAAUACCUCAGCAAUUACCUCGUGCUUGUAAUUUAAAGCCUGCGUGAAAGGUGCAAUCUGCAGUUGCUUUUGGGGACUUUAUGACCAUUUUAUAUACAGUGGAUUUGAAAGUAUUCAAACUCCUUCACCACAUUUACAUCACAGCCUUGUUCAAAAGUGGAUAAAAUCUUACUCGGACAGGUUUUUAAAUGUUAACUUAAGGUCUGUACGCCAGUCAUGUAAAGUCAAUGAAAGCCUCAUUUAAAUGUACAGCUUUUGUAUUGCAUCAUGAUUUUCAGUAAUCGCUUCAAUUCAAACUUAACACCAGAUUUGCCCCUGGUGGGAUAUACAAUCAACUCUUCACCAUUAAAGCCUUCCUGGUACAUGUGCUGGGAUAAUAAAUAAAAAAAUUCCCCCUUAUCAGGAUGCCUACACCACAGUAGGUAGCAUCAUAAGCCACUUCAACCCAGCUCUUUAAAUCUAACAAGGUCCAUUUAAAUGUCAUGUGGGCAUUCAGUAUGUCAGACUCUUACUAAACUAGUUUGACGUUCAAGUGUAAAAUUGAAUUGCAUGAGCAGUUUUCAAGCACGUUGUGCUGUGAUUCCCCCAGAUAGGAAUUAACUACACUGGUGACAGGU
RNAcentral lists this long non-coding RNA (2355 nucleotides) under Oncorhynchus kisutch (coho salmon). RNAcentral describes it as "lncRNA (ENSOKIG00005004652.1)". Lineage: Eukaryota; Metazoa; Chordata; Actinopteri; Salmoniformes; Salmonidae. The record is from RNAcentral.